UGGCGGCAGGCUUAACACAUGCAAGUCGAGCGGGCGUAGCAAUACGUCAGCGGCAGACGGGUGAGUAACGCGUGGGAACGUACCUUUUGGUUCGGAACAACACAGGGAAACUUGUGCUAAUACCGGAUAAGCCCUUACGGGGAAAGAUUUAUCGCCGAAAGAUCGGCCCGCGUCUGAUUAGCUAGUUGGUAGGGUAAUGGCCUACCAAGGCGACGAUCAGUAGCUGGUCUGAGAGGAUGAUCAGCCACAUUGGGACUGAGACACGGCCCAAACUCC
This 276-nucleotide ribosomal RNA is filed under the name unidentified marine bacterioplankton. RNAcentral's name for it is "partial 16S ribosomal RNA". It matches the Rfam family "Bacterial small subunit ribosomal RNA", at positions 37 to 339 of the family's 1533-position model. The record is from RNAcentral. RNAcentral also lists the same sequence under 1 other name.